This 1261-nucleotide long non-coding RNA is filed under the name Hordeum vulgare. RNAcentral describes it as "long non-coding RNA (HVUL_LNC002788)". The record is from RNAcentral. Lineage: Eukaryota; Viridiplantae; Streptophyta; Magnoliopsida; Poales; Poaceae.
UAGAAAAAUUGCCGACAUUCAAGCAUACUAUAGAUGUUCCAGAACUGCUAAAGGGAAGUUCUAGUAGAAAGGACAACUAAGCGAAAGGCCUUCUUAGAAAGGCGGAGUGAUAGGUAAUGCCCUAUUUCCUAACAGUGAAAUCUAAGAUCAGACAAGAAAGAAGCUUAAGGCUAGGCAAAGAAGACGAGGGAGAAAUCGUAGGUGAAAACGUUGGGUUACCAACUCGGGUGGGUUCUCACACCAAGGUUCCUUUGUUUUGGGCAAGCCCAAUUACAAAUAAAAGAGAAGGUCGGUCCCGUACUCAAACCAAAUCAGAAGGGCGGUACUCACUCGGAUGGAAGAAUCCCAGGUCGGUCCCAUACCCGAACAAAGGCUAGACCGAAGGUCCCGUCCCACGGGUUAGGUGCUUAGCUGAAGGUGGAAGGCGAAGCCAAGGCAAGAGCAAGGGUUGAAAGACAAUAUAGAAGAAUUCCAUCUCCCCUAUUUGUUCCAUUCUCAAUGGUUGGUCAAGUUGAGAUGAACUACGGGAAUCUAUAUAUGGACUUCAAGGUCAAUCAACCCAUGCAAGGAAACUCGACGGAAUUUGUUUUUUUAUGGAUUCAAGCAAAGAAUGAGAAGUAUGGCUUGGCUAGGGAAGCAGUAGUAGUGGCAGAGGUCGAGCUUUGAGAUGAGAAGAGGGCUGAGUCGUCUAGCUUUUAUUCCAAAAUCACGUAUCACCGAUCAGCCUAUUCGAGAGGAGCUGCUUGCCUUGCCCACUUCAAUAAGGAAGACUCCAUCCAUCUAACCCAUAUCCAUUGGAACCAGAAGCGAGUGGUAAAGUCACCCUUUGGCUAAAAAACGAUUUGUAUGUGUGGCGCAACACACACCUCUGCAAAAGAAGAGAAAGAACGUUAAGAAGCGUCCCCACAAGACGACAAGUGGAUUGAAUAUCCUUUGCUUUCGUCACCGGUGCUAUUGAAUCCGCAUUUAGAAGAAAGAGCUCCGGGACUGAAUUGCUUUGAGUGGGGCUUGCCCAUUAAUUAGAUCACCUGAGUAAGCCAAGAAAGACGAAAGCGAUGGAUGUAUGUGACAAAGAGAACUUAUGAACAUGAAAGCCAGCCUUUUCCCUAAAUAUUUUAGGAAGCGAAGAAGACAGAAAAAAGUUCGGUAAUCUUCUCCCUUUGGUAGGCAUUUACCCAAAGCACUGAUAUUAUGAGUCUCUCGAUUAUACGUGAAAUAGGGAGUUCAAGGUCUUAUUCGUCUUUCUUGGCCUAUGUGAAUA